Molecule: unclassified non-coding RNA, 344 nt
Filed under: soil metagenome
Description: partial contains 5.8S ribosomal RNA, internal transcribed spacer 2, and large subunit ribosomal RNA
Rfam family: 5.8S ribosomal RNA (bases 1-120)
Source: RNAcentral
GAUGAAGAACGAAGCGAAAUGCGAUAAGUAAUGUGAAUUGCAGAAUUCAGUGAAUCAUCGAAUCUUUGAACGCACAUUGCGCCCGCCGGUAUUCCGGCGGGCAUGCCUGUUCGAGCGUCAUUUCAACCAUCAAGCCCUGGGCUUGUGUUGGGGACCUGCGGCUGCCGCAGGCCCUGAAAUGCAGUGGCGGGCUCGCAAGACACACCGAGCGUAGUAGCUUACAACCUCGCUUUGGGAGUGCUGCGGGUGCUGGCCGUAAAGCGACCUUUGCGUCUUUAGCACUAGGUUGACCUCGGAUCAGGUAGGAGGACCCGCUGAACUUAAGCAUAUCAAUAAGCGGAGGA